Marmota flaviventris (yellow-bellied marmot) is the source of this 1076-nucleotide long non-coding RNA. RefSeq lists it as uncharacterized. NCBI's taxonomy places the organism in Eukaryota, Metazoa, Chordata, Mammalia, Rodentia, Sciuridae. The record is from RefSeq and is a predicted model, not a curated record.
UUUUCCUUGUUGUUUCAGACAGGAAGGCACUUCUCAUGCCUGUGACUGUUUUGGUGACAAUGGAAGUCCCCUCCACUUCCAGGUUUUCGGCCCUCUCUGGCCCUUGGUAGAAGUGACUUCAGUUUCCCCUGGAUGGGCAUCAGUGACUCCCGAUGGUAAAAGCGCUCUGCCUGUAAUGAGCCUCCAAGCUUUACCCUGGAGCCUGGGGGCCCGAGGAAGAAACCGAGGCAUCGCCUGGGGGUAAAACAAGAAGCAGCUAGAGGAUUCAGUAGUCAGCCAACACUGGAGAGGUGACUGGCCCAAGGUCACCUGAUGAGUUUUCUGGGCUUGAAAGGAGAUCUAAAGCUGCUGGUUACAGAGUCACUACUUUCUGAUGCCUCCAUCAAUAAAAUGCCUGCCACACAGUUGCUCCAGAAUGAGACCAGGAGGGGACCCAUCCUGUGGUUAAUGUGACUGUGAUCUAAUCAUCUGGCCACUCCCACCUCCACCUCCUUCCCCAAUCCAGAGCUCAAGAAUGUGGCAGAAGUGAUGUGUCAUUUGAGCACCUCUCCAUUCUUGAACUCGUGGAACCCUGUUAUGGAUACGUGAUUCAGUCUGGCUGAGCCUCCUGGAGGAAGACCAUGAUGAGAGACCCCGCCUGUCCCUGCCUUGGCCUUUCUGGACCAAGUACCACAGCAGACCUUUCAGCUGAUUUUAGAUGUAGGAGUUAGCCCAGCUGAGAUCAGCCAAGCUCAACCCAGACCAGAAUGACCUCCCUGACCUUUAGAAUUGUGAGCUAACUUUUGGAAUCCUAACAAACUCACCCAAAGUCCUGGCAAAUCCCCUCUGGGAGACAGUAUCAUGACUACAUCAGAUGGCCAGAAAUAUUAACUAGAAAUGUUCGUAAUCAUUAGCUAGAAAUGUUCACAAACUACAGUGUGCUCAGGUCAGGGUAGGGAGAAAGGCUUUGAGGACCUGCUGGAUGAAAAGUAAAGGACUUUAGCAGGAACAUGAGUUCUGCCUCCAGAGAGUUCUACAUCAGAGAAAUGGGACAAAGAAUUUGUAGCUUCUGUGGUGGAUUAAAUAAUUGGCUACAA